CCAAGAUGCUCCAAGCGAUUACUCGGGCUACCUGGCAAGAGACCUUUCAAGCUUUGUGGAUUUCAGCUUUGCGGCUUAUACAUCGAGACCCAAGCACUCUGGAAGGACCGCUUCCUCAUCUUGAUUCUCGAUUAUGCAUGUUGUUAGCUAUUGUUCCUUUGGCUAUUGCUCCCAUUUUGAAGGAAUAUGCUAACAAUGUCGAGCCGGGAGUGGCCUCUAUUAGAAUAGAAGAAUUAAUGUCUUCUCUACAAGUUCUGGGGCAAUUUUUUGGACUUCUUUCACCCCCUCCAGCAACUGUACAUGCAACAAAUAUUGCAGCUACGAAAGCAGCGAUUGCUGUAUAUAGUUUGAAGGCUGGGAGUGAGAACAUUCACAAUUCUUUGAAAGAUAGUUUCUCUGUUAAAUUGGGAAUAUGUUACAUCUGUUUGUGGAAGCCUGUAUAGCAAGAAAUUUAGUCGAUACAUCCAUUUAUUUAUGUCCGGGCUAUGUUGUUCAUGUUAAAGACUUCUCUCCUGUCCAUCAGUCCCCUUGGUGAGCCUUGAUGGAAGGGUCUCCGCUGAUGGGUCUUAAGGAUGACCUUAUGGUU
This is a long non-coding RNA of Triticum aestivum (bread wheat), 586 nucleotides long. RefSeq lists it as uncharacterized. Lineage: Eukaryota; Viridiplantae; Streptophyta; Magnoliopsida; Poales; Poaceae. The transcript is spliced from 3 exons. The record is from RefSeq and is a predicted model, not a curated record.